Molecule: small RNA, 261 nt
Filed under: Arabidopsis thaliana (thale cress)
Lineage: Eukaryota; Viridiplantae; Streptophyta; Magnoliopsida; Brassicales; Brassicaceae
Description: ATSL056660
Source: RNAcentral
AAAAAAUUCCCUCAGACACAUAACUUUGAUUCAGUCACAAGACAUCAGUAUUAGCAUGGUUAUUACCAUCAUAGGGAAUCCUUACAUUCAAAGAGAUCAUAUGGCAAAACAAAAACCUAAACUCCUAAAAAAUACAAGAGUUCCCUCAGCAAAUCACUUAUAAAUCAAAUAAAAAUUAUCAAUAUACAUUAGCAUGGUAUUGAUUUUAAAUCAUCACAGGGAACAAAAUAUAAAAUCUUCCUACUAAUAAAAUCAAAAUAA